Molecule: ribosomal RNA, 492 nt
Filed under: uncultured bacterium
Lineage: Bacteria
Description: partial 16S ribosomal RNA
Rfam family: Bacterial small subunit ribosomal RNA
Source: RNAcentral
AGUGAACGCUGGCGGUAGGCCUAACACAUGCAAGUCGAACGGCAGCACAGUAAGAGCUUGCUCUUACGGGUGGCGAGUGGCGGACGGGUGAGGAAUACAUCGGAAUCUACUUUUUCGUGGGGGAUAACGUAGGGAAACUUACGCUAAUACCUCAUACGACCUACGGGUGAAAGCAGGGGAUCUUCGUACCUUGCGCGAUUGAAUUAGCCGAUGUCGGAUUAGCUAGUUGGCGGGGUAAAGGCCCACCAAGGCGACGAUCCGUAGCUGGUCUGAGAGGAUGAUCAGCCACACUGGAACUGAGACACGGUCCAGACUCCUACGGGAGGCAGCAGUGGGGAAUAUUGGACAAUGGGCGCAAGCCUGAUCCAGCCAUACCGCGUGGGUGAAGAAGGCCUUCGGGUUGUAAAGCCCUUUUGUUGGGAAAGAAAAGCAGCAGGUUAAUACCCCGCUGUUCUGACGGUACCCAAAGAAUAAGCACCGGCUAACUUCGUG